Molecule: non-coding RNA, 391 nt
Filed under: Pongo abelii (Sumatran orangutan)
Lineage: Eukaryota; Metazoa; Chordata; Mammalia; Primates; Hominidae
Source: RNAcentral
GAAAACCCAAAACUGCCAAAUCUGAAAUGACGGAAAUGCAUCCUGUGUGAGACCAGUUCCACAGCAUGAACACACACACACACAUAUACACCAGUACAUACACCGACAUACACACAGUACAAAUGAGCACACACGCCCUGCUGUGCACAGCUGUUUUCUGACAUAGAGAAUUUACAAAAUAUAGAAUUUGGCAUAUCUGUGAGAUCUCCAAGGCUUUCAAUAAUACAAAAUAAAAAAUACAAAAAAGACAAGUGGGGAUCCCCGCCCUCCCCCCGAGUGGCGUCCUCGUUUGCUUGUGUGUCUCUUACACGCAUACAACUAGCAUAGUCUAAAGAAGGGCACGGAGAACUUGUUUUGUUUUAUUUAAUAAAUAUUUUUCUCAGAAUCACCA